Molecule: ribosomal RNA, 467 nt
Filed under: uncultured bacterium
Lineage: Bacteria
Description: partial 16S ribosomal RNA
Rfam family: Bacterial small subunit ribosomal RNA
Source: RNAcentral
GACGAACGCUGGCGGCGUGCUUAACACAUGCAAGUCGAACGGAAAGGCCCUGCUUUUGUGGGGUGCUCGAGUGGCGAACGGGUGAGUAACACGUGAGUAACCUGCCCUUGACUUUGGGAUAACUUCAGGAAACUGGGGCUAAUACCGGAUAGGAGCUCCUGCUGCAUGGUGGGGGUUGGAAAGUUUCGGCGGUUGGGGAUGGACUCGCGGCUUAUCAGCUUGUUGGUGGGGUAGUGGCUUACCAAGGCUUUGACGGGUAGCCGGCCUGAGAGGGUGACCGGCCACAUUGGGACUGAGAUACGGCCCAGACUCCUACGGGAGGCAGCAGUGGGGAAUAUUGCACAAUGGGCGGAAGCCUGAUGCAGCAACGCCGCGUGCGGGAUGACGGCCUUCGGGUGGUAAACCGCUUUCGCCUUGACGAAGCGUGAGUGACGGUAAUGGGUAAAGAAGCACCGGCUAACUACGUG